This 495-nucleotide ribosomal RNA is filed under the name uncultured bacterium. RNAcentral's name for it is "partial 16S ribosomal RNA". It matches the Rfam family "Bacterial small subunit ribosomal RNA", at positions 28 to 507 of the family's 1533-position model. The record is from RNAcentral.
GACGAACGCUGGCGGCGUGCCUAAUACAUGCAAGUAGAGCGCUGAAGGAGGAGCUUGCUUCUCUGGAUGAGUUGCGAACGGGUGAGUAACGCGUAGGUAACCUGCCUGGUAGCGGGGGAUAACUAUUGGAAACGAUAGCUAAUACCGCAUAACAGUAGAUAUCGCAUGAUAUCUACUUGAAAGGUGCAAUUGCAUCACUACCAGAUGGACCUGCGUUGUAUUAGCUAGUUGGUGAGGUAACGGCUCACCAAGGCGACGAUACAUAGCCGACCUGAGAGGGUGAUCGGCCACACUGGGACUGAGACACGGCCCAGACUCCUACGGGAGGCAGCAGUAGGGAAUCUUCGGCAAUGGACGGAAGUCUGACCGAGCAACGCCGCGUGAGUGAAGAAGGGUUUCGGAUCGUAAAGCUCUGUUGUAAGAGAAGAACGAGUGUGAGAGUGGAAAGUUCACACUGUGACGGUAUCUUACCAGAAAGGGACGGCUAACUACGUG